This is a small nucleolar RNA of Bufo bufo (common toad), 74 nucleotides long. Lineage: Eukaryota; Metazoa; Chordata; Amphibia; Anura; Bufonidae. The record is from RefSeq and is a predicted model, not a curated record.
UUGCUAUGAUGAAAUCAGUUUUUUCACCUGAGACACUGUGAAGAUUAAAUCUGAGCUUUUUAACCCUGAGCAAU